Molecule: long non-coding RNA, 205 nt
Organism: Rhea pennata
Lineage: Eukaryota; Metazoa; Chordata; Aves; Rheiformes; Rheidae
Exons: 3
Source: RefSeq, a predicted model, not a curated record
GGAUUGAUUGUUCCUGAACCAGGAAUAAAGAUUAAAUAAAGAUUAAACAUAGAAGAGGCUCUUAGCACAACAGGGUUCCUUCAUGCUAAACAGCACAGACAAGAAGAGCACUCUGGCAGUCCUGGGCUAAAGAUUUGUACUCCUACCUCCAGCAAGUGAGAUGCUACUGGCACUUAAGAAUUUCUUGGAGGAACUGCUACUUUUU